Molecule: non-coding RNA, 819 nt
Organism: Hydra vulgaris (swiftwater hydra)
Lineage: Eukaryota; Metazoa; Cnidaria; Hydrozoa; Anthoathecata; Hydridae
Source: RefSeq, a predicted model, not a curated record
CGUUAGCCGUUUUACUAUAAUGGGAUGACUGAAUAACCGUGAAUUUCAUACACGCAAACAAUGCCAAAUGGCAUAAGUGCAAAUGGGCAUAACUGCACAAAAGAAUUCCAAACAUUGGCAUAAUUGCAAACUGCUAUAAGUGCAAACUGGCAUAUGUGUAAUUUGGCAUAAGUGGGCUAAAUAGAUUUACAAACAUUCGCAUAAGUGUGAAUUUCCAUAAGUGGGAACUGGUAUAAGUGUGAAGCAGUUGCAAAAACUCGCAAAAGUGCAAACAAGAUAAAUGCGAACUGGCAUAAGUGUGCCAAAUAAAUUUGCAAAAUUUAGCAAAAUUCCAAACUGCAAAUUUAUUACACGCACUUAUGUCAGUUCACACUUCUGCCUGUUUUUGUAACUGUUUUGUACUUAAUCAAAUUUUGCACUUAUGCCUAUGCGUAAUGUUUGCUAACCUGUUUGGCGCACUAAUGCCAAUUUACACUUUUUCCAGUUUGCAAGUUUAAAGCUAUAGGUUAUCCUAUAGCUUUAAACUUUAGAUUAAUGUUUUAUGACAAAUUCACUCAUGGCCAAAUCUAAUAUGGCAGCUGGAAAAGGCAAAGAAUCUUUUUAGCCUAACCAAGCUAUACAACUUAAUAAAAGUUUGUGCAUCGACUUCUCACGAAUUAUACACAGAGUCGAUUGUCGAUGCAAUAAUUGCUGAUUCGUGAAAGCGGGCAACUUUUGCUUGUCUUAAAGUGCCUUAAAUCCAACAGACCCAGUAAGCACAGGACGUUUUAAAAACGUUUUAAUUCGACGUUAAAAGAACCAAUACAAUCGUUAAAACGU